UACAGAGGUCUCAAGCGUUGUUCGGAUUCAUUGGGCGUAAAGGGUGCGUAGGCGGGUCUUUAAGUCAGGGGUUAAAUCCUGGAGCUCAACUCCAGAACUGCCUUUGAUACUGAGGAUCUUGAGUUCGGGAGAGGUGAGUGGAACUGCGAGUGUAGAGGUGAAAUUCGUAGAUAUUCGCAAGAACACCAGUGGCGAAGGCGGCUCACUGGCCCGAUACUGACGCUGAGGCACGAAAGCGUGGGGAGCAAACAGG
RNAcentral lists this ribosomal RNA (253 nucleotides) under uncultured bacterium. RNAcentral's name for it is "partial 16S ribosomal RNA". It matches the Rfam family "Bacterial small subunit ribosomal RNA", at positions 524 to 776 of the family's 1533-position model. The record is from RNAcentral.